CUAAAAUAAAACUCAACUUACCGCAAUGCCCACGUUGUGCGCCCUCUUUAUCCUUUUAUGUAAUGGCUCUUCCCGCGGUCUUUGUUCCUCUUGCGGUCUUUGCUCGUCAAACUUUCGCUCAAGAGCACAAAGAUAACAGUGUUUGCAGCUUGCUUCUCCAUCAAACCCUGAAGCUGACGAGACAAAGCGUUCUGACCGGAGAUCAGCUGUUUCAUUAUAUCAUUUAUGCUCAGUGGGCAUGCUGCUGGUUGCAAAGCCCUAUUACUCACGGGAGUAGUAAAACUCAGGUUUCUUUUACACGCCAUCACAAACAAUAGUCAGUUUCACCAAGUCGCAAUUCGCAAAAAAUGACUUCCGUACACAAUGCCGACAAUUUAAAUUGUGUUCGCGCGAAUGAUACUGUAAUGUCAUUGGUUGCAUUCCCUUACGUCACCGACAUAAUGGCCGGAACAGACUGAUACUGCUGCAGCAUUUCUCCCUGUGGAGCGUAUUGCAGGCAGAUGUGUACUUAGUACAUCAACCGUGCAGUUAAGUCACACUAAAGAGAAAGUCUCGGUUGUAAUUCCACUAUGCACUGUGGUAGAGAUUUAGAAAUUUGUUUUGUCAUUGUUAAUGUCUAUUUUCAUUUUUGUCAUUAUCUGUAAAUGUCAACCUUUACAAUAAACCUUUUUCUUGAUAUACUAAAACAAUGUUUGUUGUAUUCCUCUUGACUAAUGUAACCCAUGAAGAGUCAGACAUAUAAAGUAAUUUUUACACAUUAAAAAGGUAAUCAUGUCUAUUGACUUUGUUUAUUUGAGAACAUUUUUGCAACAGUCAAAAUAACAAAUUAAAUUAUAUUACUAACAAGCGUGUUUAGGGGAUAAGGUGUGUUGCGGAAAGUCGCUUGGCUGUGUCGCUUGAUAUGAUAUACCAUAAGUUAUUUUGAUAUAGCAAUUAAACUUACAUAAAAUUUAUAAUAUGUGUCCCUGGACCACAUAACCAGUCAUACAUUUUUUUUUUUGAGUUUUACUUUAUAAAUAUUUGGCAAUGAUACAACAAUAAAAAACGGCAAAAAAAAAAUUUUUUUUUGAGAAAAUCCCCAGUUGUCCAAAUGAAGUCCUUAGCAACAAAUAUUAGGCUACUAAUGAUAAAUAUAUUUUUGAUAAAUGUAGUGAUCUUCACACAAACACCAAUAAAUAUAUUAAAUAUAUUUAAUAAAUAUAUAUUUACAUUACUAUUAUUUUUAUGGAACUUUUUUAAUAUCCUAAUAUUUUUUAACAACAGAAAAAUCAAUUAUUUUGAUCCAUUUAACGUAUUGUUGGCUAUUGCUAAUUCUACAAAUAUAACCUACAUGUGCUACUUAUGAGUUUACUUAUGUUUUGUGGCCCAGGGUCAAAUGUGACAUGGAUAUAUUAUAAAAGACCAACUUUGGCCUGCGUGCCCUAGUUUUGUCACCUCUGGACUAGAAGUACAGUAGCUGACAGGUAUCUGCAGAUAUUUUUACCCGAUAUUUUAACCGACUUUUAGAUUAUGGACCUGUCUAUUGAUUUUCUUUGUUUCUAUUUUAAAAUAUUUAAUGAAAUGUUAGGGUAGAAUCAUAAUAACAAUAGAAACAGUGAACUUCAAAUCAUGAGACAUCAGCAAAAAUAAGCAGCUUUAAAUUUCACUUACUUAUGAAUAUGGUACUGAAUUUAUCAACAUCCUAGCUAGCAAAAUGUGUUACAUGAUGUUUUUGAAACAAAAUGUCUCAUUUGAACUGCUUCUUUUAUACAAUGAAUGCAGCAUUGAGAGAUACGUGCACAACAUACUGUCAUAGGGCAGUUGGAGACAUGUUUUCAAAGUGUUGAAAAUAUAUAUUCUGAAAUAACAUUUGUUGCAUUCCUCUACAUUAAACAUGAAAAGUCAGAGACAUAAUUUUCACAUAUUAAAAUGGUAAUUGUGUCCAUUGAAUUUCAGUUAAUUUGAAUGAUGCUAAGUUUCUUAAAUAGACUAAUUAAAUUAUAUUAAUAAUAAACGUAUUUAGCAAACACAGUUUUUAUGUUCCACAAUACUGUAUGUGCUCUCUUUACGAGACAUUGUUACCCCCCCCCCAGCUCUGAAUCAGAGAAGGCACCUCUACCUGGGGGGUCAUUAACAUAUAAAAAGCCCUUCACACCUCACACCCACCCCUCCUCACAACCAGCUGUAAGGAUUCCUGGAAACUUCCACCAGUUCCUAUAUACAUCCACAUAUGUAAGGUUUCUGGAUGUUUCACGAGUUUACUUCUGUGUAUUACCUUUCCAAGCACUCUGCCUCAUUUAUCUGGCAAACCUACAGUUUAGCAGAGAUUUCCCACCCGGUAUUUGUCCGUAUACAGCUUUUUUCAUGCAGUGAUCCAUAUUCAAAUGUUUAUUCAAUCUCUACCAAAAAGAAUGUGUUUUCAUUAAUUUUGCCUGUUGAGGAAUGGUCUUGUUUUAUCCUGUUUUAGUCAUUUGCAGAAGCAAAAAAAGUCUUAAAUAUGAAUCAGAGGAAAUGUCUGGAGGACACCAAAUCCUUAAAAACUUUGUAAAAUCAACCUGAUGCUGUUGUUAAAUGUUGUAGCUCACUAUUUUUUAAUUUGGGUAUUCAAUCUGAGAUCCUAACUGUUUCAGACUUUACAAAGUGUUGUCUGUGAGAGUGCUUUUGAGACAGAACAGAGACAUUUAUAUGAGGAGGGUGGAAUAGAUUAUUUAAUAUAUGUCCACUAACAUGUCUUUUUGUGAGCAGCAUUGUGUUUUGUCUGUGAUAGAGUAUUAGAGUUUCUGAAAUGUAACCAUAAAGCAAUAAACUACUUUUAAUGAUUCAUCUGUCCCAGAGUUUCUGAUUUUUAUUUGGUGUUUAGAAAAAAAACAAAAAAGUCUUAAAACGUUUUUUUAUUUUUAUUUCCACAGUUCUACUUUAAAUGUUGUCAAGUUGAUUAGGAAAACAAUAAUAAACUUGGAUUAUGUAGCCC
This is a long non-coding RNA of Cyprinus carpio carpio, 2950 nucleotides long. The record is from Ensembl. NCBI's taxonomy places the organism in Eukaryota, Metazoa, Chordata, Actinopteri, Cypriniformes, Cyprinidae.